UACGAAGGGUGCAAGCGUUACUCGGAAUUACUGGGCGUAAAGCGUGCGUAGGUGGUUUGUUAAGUCUGUUGUGAAAGCCCCGGGCUCAACCUGGGAAUGGCAAUGGAUACUGGCAGGCUAGAGUGCGGUAGAGGGUAGUGGAAUUCCCGGUGUAGCGGUGAAAUGCGUAGAUAUCGUAAGGAAGACCAGUGGCGAAGGCGAGUCUCUGGACAGCAACUGACGCUGAGGCACGAAGGCCAGGGGAGCAAACGGG
Molecule: ribosomal RNA, 253 nt
Filed under: uncultured bacterium
Lineage: Bacteria
Description: partial 16S ribosomal RNA
Rfam family: Bacterial small subunit ribosomal RNA
Source: RNAcentral